AGUGAACGCUGGCGGUAGGCCUAACACAUGCAAGUCGAACGGCAGCACAGUAAGAGCUUGCUCUUACGGGUGGCGAGUGGCGGACGGGUGAGGAAUACAUCGGAAUCUACUUUUUCGUGGGGGAUAACGUAGGGAAACUUACGCUAAUACCGCAUACGACCUACGGGUGAAAGCAGGGGAUCUUCGGACCUUGCGCGAUUGAAUGAGCCGAUGUCGGAUUAGCUAGUUGGCGGGGUAAAGGCCCACCAAGGCGACGAUCCGUAGCUGGUCUGAGAGGAUGAUCAGCCACACUGGAAAUGAGAAACGGUCCAGACUCCUAAGGGAGGGAGCAGUGGGGAAUAUUGGACAAUGGGGGGAAGCCUGAUCCAGCCAUACCGCGUGGGUGAAGAAGGCCUUUGGGUUGUAAAGCCCUUUUGGUGGGAAAGAAAAGCAGCAGGUUAAUACCCCGCUGUUCUGACGGUAACCAAAGAAUAAGCACCGGCUAACUUCGUG
RNAcentral lists this ribosomal RNA (492 nucleotides) under uncultured bacterium. Its description in RNAcentral is "partial 16S ribosomal RNA". It matches the Rfam family "Bacterial small subunit ribosomal RNA", at positions 29 to 507 of the family's 1533-position model. The record is from RNAcentral.